RNAcentral lists this RNase P RNA (283 nucleotides) under bacterium. Its description in RNAcentral is "RNase P RNA component class A". It matches the Rfam family "Bacterial RNase P class A". From Rfam's summary of the family: Ribonuclease P (RNase P) is a ubiquitous endoribonuclease, found in archaea, bacteria and eukarya as well as chloroplasts and mitochondria. Its best characterised activity is the generation of mature 5'-ends of tRNAs by cleaving the 5'-leader elements of precursor-tRNAs. The record is from RNAcentral.
UUAGGAAGAAGUGCGAUCGCUCGCCUUAGGCGAGAGGAAAGUCCAGACAGCAGAAAGCAGGGUGUCCAGCGUAAGCUGGAGCGCGUAAGCGCCAGUUAGAGCCACAGAGACUACAACUCAUCUCAGACUUAAAACGUUUGAGGCAGAGGGUGAAAAGAGGCAAUCCUCCCCGCUGCAACCUCCGAAUUGGACGCUAUUACCGGCUUUCGGGAGUCCUAAAGUUCGAGGGCAUUAGACAGAUGAUCGCGUAACAACAGAAUCUGGCUACUCGCUUCCUGGGACA